This is a non-coding RNA of Trichonephila inaurata madagascariensis, 88 nucleotides long. NCBI's taxonomy places the organism in Eukaryota, Metazoa, Arthropoda, Arachnida, Araneae, Nephilidae. The record is from the annotation of a GenBank genome assembly.
GACGAGGUGGCCGAGUGCGGUUAAGGCGAUGGACUGCUAAUCCAUUGGGCCUCCCUGCCCAAGUGUAGUUCGAAUCCCAUCCUCGUCG